UCCAACAAGCUACUAGAAUCCCAUAUUCAUCAACAAAUACAUUAUUUAUUUUUGGGUCUUGCAGUUACAUUAUUACUAUGAAUUAUCUUUUUUGGUCACUGUGUGUAAGUGCACUGGUCGAUCAAUUGUAGAUUGGAUAACGUUUAGCCUCCGUGUCCUUUUUGCAAUUCAGCAAGCAGUCAUUCAAAGUCGGCCAGCACAUGCGAUCCUUGUCACAACAGAAUGCUCCCUGGCGGCGGGAUGAAUCUAGAAAACAACCAGUAUUUGUGUCAUGGCGGAUGGUUACGCUGGUUUCCCCAUUAUUCAUCUGGUUACUCCUGAUGUCAUCUUUGCUUCGACCUAAUAAAGAACAAAAGGGACACAUAGAUCCUUUCAACAUAAUAAAGAAAAUAAUGGAACAACAUGCUUAUAGAUCUUGAAGAAAAGAGAGCUAGAGUGUUCAUCUGUUACCACAUAUGCAUGCAGGAAUGACCGAAGAUACAAGGACUAAGGAAAGUAGCAGGAGUGCUUUCCUUGUGGCCUUCAUGAAUAUCGCCAGAUGACUAGUUUUGUUUAUGUAUUAUUGGUCUGAAUUUUGUAUUGAUACUCGACGAGCUGUAGCUA
RNAcentral lists this long non-coding RNA (603 nucleotides) under Setaria viridis. RNAcentral describes it as "long non-coding RNA (SVIR_LNC008192)". The record is from RNAcentral. Lineage: Eukaryota; Viridiplantae; Streptophyta; Magnoliopsida; Poales; Poaceae.